CCGACGGGUGGAGGUAACACGUAUCCAGCCUGCCGUCUACUCUUGGCCAGCCUUCUGAAGGAAGAUUAAUCCAGGAUGGCAUCAUGAGUUCACAUGUCCGCAUGAUUAAAGGUAUUUUCCGGUAGACGAUGGGGAUGCGUUCCAUUAGAUAGUAGGCGGGGUAACGGCCCACCUAGUCAACGAUGGAUAGGGGUUCUGAGAGGAAGGUCCCCCACAUUGGAACUGAGACACGGUCCAA
This 238-nucleotide ribosomal RNA is filed under the name uncultured bacterium. Its description in RNAcentral is "partial 16S ribosomal RNA". It matches the Rfam family "Bacterial small subunit ribosomal RNA", at positions 102 to 334 of the family's 1533-position model. The record is from RNAcentral.